RNAcentral lists this long non-coding RNA (530 nucleotides) under Dermacentor andersoni. RNAcentral describes it as "uncharacterized LOC126542819". The record is from RNAcentral. Lineage: Eukaryota; Metazoa; Arthropoda; Arachnida; Ixodida; Ixodidae.
UAACUUCACCGACUUUCUUAGGUUGCGUCGAAAAGGAGACUACACUUAAAAAGUAGUUGUGUUAGAUGUCUGCGUUAUACAGCGCCCGAUAUGUUCUGAUAGGCACGAUAACUCUGCAGGGAAUGUUUAUAUGCUUUGGCAAACCAACCGCUUUUCCCACCAAUUUUAAUGGAAGCGAGACCACAGCGCCUCCAUAUAAAUGCGGGCAAGUGUGCACGCGGGAAAAAAAAUGUCCUGAUGGCUGUUUCUGUGGGUUUGUAGGAACCAAAAGUUCUGGCAUCUGCCUCUCCUACGACGAUCCUUAUUGAUACCACGGUAAUAUUACACCAGCGAGAGUGACAGCGCAGUGCGUUACGGGAAAAUAAAUGCUUUGCCUGUCUGUUUGAUUUCUGUACGUGCGUUUCAAGUCCAUUUAUUUGUCAUCACAAAAGCAACCUCCUAAUGCGUAUGACAUACGCAUAAAUACUAUAGCUGCUUCGUAGGAAGCGAAGACAACUGAGCAGUUGCAAUCUUUCAAAAUCGUCGAUCCU